AUGUUCUUGUGUAUUUUGCAGAUUUGUGUUUGCAUUUGCUAUGUCAUUUGGGAGUUUCUCAUAGAACAAGCCCGGUUACAUAAGAUGAGCACAGGAUUCAGCGCAGAGAUCUUUGUGCAGAAGCUUGCGAAGCUUAAUAUUGCACAACAAAGUAUAGAGACUUUAUCACACUGGUGCAUCUUCCAUCAUCGUUGUUGCCAGGAAGUUGUUGACAUAUGGAAUAGAGAUUUUCACUCAGCUCCUCAAGAGAGAAAGAUAUCUUUGCUGUAUCUUGCAAAUGAUAUUAUGCAGAAUAGUAAGAAGGAUGGCCUGAGAUAUAUACAUGAGUUCUUGAAGGUCAUCGCUGCUGCCUUAGAUGACCUGUUCACCAAUGGUGAUGAUUUUGGACGAAAUGUUGUAAAAAGACUGGUUGACAUAUGGGAAGAUCGCAAGUUGUUUGGCACCCAAGGACAACUUCUAAAGGAAGAAUACAUCCGCAAAUUUAAGGAGCUAAAGUCGAAAAAACCAGGUGGAGAGCUGGUGGAGAAGGUUAUAUCGAGCUACAAGCAUAUGCUUCGGGCACCUGUAGAUGAGGCCAAGUUGAUGAGAGAAUGCAACAGUGCUCUAAGCUUUGUUGACAACCUGAACAAAGAGUACGGAAAUUCGUACUUAGGGAGCAGCAAUGGAUAUAGCUUUGUGGAGGAGCUGAAGGAACAACAUAGUAUUCUGAGAAACACCAUUGAACGAUUCAAAAUGUCUGAAUCACUCAGGGCCACUCUGGUAUCUGAUUUGAAGGAAGCACUCCAUGAGCAGGAGUUCAAGACAGAACUUGUCAGANNNNNNNNNNNGGCAGCUCAGGUCAGAUAUAGGAAAGCUGAUGACCUCUGCCAGAAGCUCGGAAUAGAUGUACCAAGGCACGAGCCAUCUAAUGGGGUUGAGAACUCCAGUCUCUCUGAAGUGCCUGCUACUUUUCCCCCAGUUUCAGCUAAUGCUAAUUCUGUCGAGAAGGGACGAUCGACUGCAGUGAUGUAUUCACGGGAAGGAGAUGGAAGUGAGCCUGAGACCCUCAACGGCGGUUUUUCUUCACGAGCCACCAGGGACAACUUUGAGCAGAAAAUAGAAGGGCACCCUCCUGUUACUAAGAGGCAGAAGAUAGAGAAUGGUAUAUCUGUUCCUCAGCCUGAAGCACCCCCACCGCCACCCCCACUCCCGUAUCCUGAUACAUUUGAACAGCCACCACCACCGCCUCAGUAUCCUCCAUCACCAGAGUCUAGCCCACCACCACUUCCACCUUCGAUGCCGCCCCCAAUCCCACCACCACCACCACCUUCUACAGAUGCAUUUAUGCCAGUUCCUGCUCUUCCAAUGGGAGGAAUGCCAUAUUUCCCACCGUUUCCUCCACCUGUAAACUAUCCCAUGAUCAACAUGCCACCGCCUUUCCCUGGUGCCCCAAACCCUCCUCACCCAGGUUUCCUUGGAUUUGGGGGUCCCUUCUAUGGCCCGCCUUUCCCCUCGGCACCCCACCAAUGA
This 1509-nucleotide ribosomal RNA is filed under the name Triticum aestivum (bread wheat). RNAcentral describes it as "partial small subunit ribosomal RNA". The record is from RNAcentral. Lineage: Eukaryota; Viridiplantae; Streptophyta; Magnoliopsida; Poales; Poaceae.